CCACGACUGAAUGAGAUAAGAGCAGACGCUGUCCGUAAGUGGCUGGAUUCAAACAUAAUCUACCUCUAUCAGGGCUGUUGCAAGCUUCCCCCACAAGGAGGUGUAUUUCUUACAGUGAAGCAGAGUGAGACUUCAGGAGGAACUGUCAGAGGAGGAGUGGUGUACGGGAGUUCUAUGGUAACCCUGGUCUUUAGCAGGUUUCUGUUGGCUUCAACA
Long non-coding RNA from Pygocentrus nattereri (red-bellied piranha), 216 nucleotides. RefSeq lists it as uncharacterized. The transcript has 2 exons. The record is from RefSeq and is a predicted model, not a curated record. NCBI's taxonomy places the organism in Eukaryota, Metazoa, Chordata, Actinopteri, Characiformes, Serrasalmidae.